CCUACGGGAGGCAGCAGUGAGGAAUCUUGGUCAAUGGACGAGAGUCUGAACCAGCCAAGUAGCGUGAAGGAUGACUGCCCUAUGGGUUGUAAACUUCUUUUAUAUGGGCAUAAAGUUCAGUAUGUAUACUGUUUUGUAUGUACCAUAUGAAUAAGGAUCGGCUAACUCCGUGCCAGCAGCCGCGGUAAUACGGAGGAUCCGAGCGUUAUGCGGCUUUAUUGGGUUUAAAGGGAGCGUAGGCGGACGCUUAAGUCAGUUGUGAAAGUUUGCGGCUCAACCGUAGAAUUGCAGUUGAUACUGGGUGUCUUGAGUGCAGGAGAGGUAGGCGGAAUUCGUGGUGUAGCGGUGAAAUGCUUAGAUAUCGCGAAGAACUCCGAUGGCGAAGGCAGCAUACGGCAGCGCUACUGACGCUGAGGCUCGAAGGCGCGGGUAGCGAACAGGAUUAGAUACCCCAGUAGUC
RNAcentral lists this ribosomal RNA (460 nucleotides) under uncultured bacterium. RNAcentral's name for it is "partial 16S ribosomal RNA". It matches the Rfam family "Bacterial small subunit ribosomal RNA", at positions 338 to 795 of the family's 1533-position model. The record is from RNAcentral.